This 404-nucleotide long non-coding RNA is filed under the name Canis lupus dingo (dingo). RNAcentral's name for it is "lncRNA (ENSCAFG00020018507.1)". The record is from RNAcentral. Lineage: Eukaryota; Metazoa; Chordata; Mammalia; Carnivora; Canidae.
CCCGGAAGGAGAUUUCCGGAAGCGAAGGUCGCGCUCUGGAUCUGAAAGCUGAAGUUUCCGGCUAAGUUUAUGAUUUCUUCAGAUUUCUUCUGUCCCGCCCCGGGUUGUUGUGGAACUUUGUCCUAACGUCUCAUCUGAUCCUAAUAAAUACGUUGCUGAAAGCACAACGCUCCCAACAAGACAUUAGUGUUCGUGGAUCUGUAAAGAAUCGACUCUCCUGCAGAUAUCUGAGGGUCUACCAUAUGAUUUCAGAUGGAAGCCAUAAUAUUUUGCUAUUCUUUGCCACCCGUUGCUGACACUGUGUACGAGUGACAACUCCGAAGAGACAUGGCAACGGAGCAACUAAGGAUGGAAUCACAAGUGAGUAGGGAGUUCUUCUUUCUACUGAAAUAGCAUGUCUGUCA